Chrysemys picta bellii (western painted turtle) is the source of this 842-nucleotide non-coding RNA. Lineage: Eukaryota; Metazoa; Chordata; Testudines; Emydidae. The record is from RefSeq and is a predicted model, not a curated record.
GGAGUGUGUCUGACAUCCACCCCAUGCCAAGUCACUACAGCUAGUACAUCUCCAGGCUAUGCUUCUUAGCAUCAUCCCCUGCUGCACAGGGGGCCAGAAGUGAAGGGGUUAAAUCUGUUCAGUUUGUGAGGUGGCUGUUUUGGAGCAUGUUGUGAGACCCGAUAUGAGCUGCGCUCUGUGGGUAGCUGCGCACUGAUAAGGCCCUUUCUCUCGAUAGGAUUUGGAAGCAGAGCCGCAGCAGGCCCGAGUCCGGUGCUAAUCCUGAAAGACCCGUGUGUGUGCUUUGAUUUUGUUUUUAUCAUUUAUUUAUUUUUUGACGUAGCUGUUUCAGAAACACUAGCCACCUUGGCAAGAGGCAGUGGCGAGGGCUUGUCAAGGAGUGUGAGGGACCUGGACACUCAACACCCUUUGGUUUCCACUGGGAAUUGGGUACCUGACCCCUUUGGCAUGGCUGUUGGUGGGAAGCUUGCGCCAUUCCUGCUAGCACGGUGCUUGGAGUCAUCAGAAUGACACAUCCCCAAUUCCACGAGCACCAAAUGUCACUCGGAUAGUGUGAUGGGAUGGAAUUUCAGCUGAACACCAGGUCAUGCUUAACGGUCUCGACUCCAGCUGAAGUCAUGGGGAACUCUGCACCUCUGAAAAUCAAGCCCAAGGCAUCAUUCGUAUUCUAUGCCCAUCACCCUGGUACCUGGACACCUUCCAGAGAGAGGUUCUUACUCAGUGCUGACUCCAAAUCUCAAUGUGAAUAGAAACUUGCCUCACAGCUGGAUAGAAAGGUGGAUUGCAAAGGCUGCUACUAAAAAGAAUCAUUCCAACCUCAGAGUCAAACAGAAGAACCUGCA